AUGGGAUUUAGUCCAGACCCUCCACUGGCUCAAGACCCAGUGGCUCUCUGCUCCUCAACGCCCCACAUGGAGCGCCCAAUCCAGGAAAACAGACCCGUCGCACUGCCGCUCCCCAUCUCCCUGCGUCGUCCGGAGAUGGUCCGGCUGGGCGCCACCCCGGCGACCGAGUGUGUGCUGUCCAUGGAAGCCAGCUCCUCCACCCAUACCCUUCUCUACAAGGACGGCGAGGACACUGCUUCAUCAGAACUGAUCCAAACGACCACGCGCAAUCCAAGUGGAAGAAAACCAGAUGAUCGAGAAAGAAGAAUUGCUACACCGGAACCUGGGCCAUGCAUGCGGUGA
This 342-nucleotide ribosomal RNA is filed under the name Triticum aestivum (bread wheat). Its description in RNAcentral is "partial small subunit ribosomal RNA". The record is from RNAcentral. Lineage: Eukaryota; Viridiplantae; Streptophyta; Magnoliopsida; Poales; Poaceae.